This 557-nucleotide ribosomal RNA is filed under the name Escherichia coli. Its description in RNAcentral is "bacterial SSU rRNA". It matches the Rfam family "Bacterial small subunit ribosomal RNA", at positions 976 to 1533 of the family's 1533-position model. Lineage: Bacteria; Pseudomonadati; Pseudomonadota; Gammaproteobacteria; Enterobacterales; Enterobacteriaceae. The record is from RNAcentral.
UGGUCUUGACAUCCACGGAAGUUUUCAGAGAUGAGAAUGUGCCUUCGGGAACCGUGAGACAGGUGCUGCAUGGCUGUCGUCAGCUCGUGUUGUGAAAUGUUGGGUUAAGUCCCGCAACGAGCGCAACCCUUAUCCUUUGUUGCCAGCGGUCCGGCCGGGAACUCAAAGGAGACUGCCAGUGAUAAACUGGAGGAAGGUGGGGAUGACGUCAAGUCAUCAUGGCCCUUACGACCAGGGCUACACACGUGCUACAAUGGCGCAUACAAAGAGAAGCGAACUCGCGAGAGCAAGCGGACCUCAUAAAGUGCGUCGUAGUCCGGAUUGGAGUCUGCAACUCGACUCCAUGAAGUCGGAAUCGCUAGUAAUCGUGGAUCAGAAUGCCACGGUGAAUACGUUCCCGGGCCUUGUACACACCGCCCGUCACACCAUGGGAGUGGGUUGCAAAAGAAGUAGGUAGCUUAACCUUCGGGAGGGCGCUUACCACUUUGUGAUUCAUGACUGGGGUGAAGUCGUAACAAGGUAACCGUAGGGGAACCUGCGGUUGGAUCACCUCCUUA